Molecule: transfer RNA, 76 nt
Filed under: Amoya chusanensis
Lineage: Eukaryota; Metazoa; Chordata; Actinopteri; Gobiiformes; Gobiidae
Description: tRNA-Leu
Rfam family: tRNA
About the family: Transfer RNA (tRNA) molecules are approximately 80 nucleotides in length. Their secondary structure includes four short double-helical elements and three loops (D, anti-codon, and T loops). Further hydrogen bonds mediate the characteristic L-shaped molecular structure. tRNAs have two regions of fundamental functional importance: the anti-codon, which is responsible for specific mRNA codon recognition, and the 3' end, to which the tRNAs corresponding amino acid is attached (by aminoacyl-tRNA synthetases). tRNAs cope with the degeneracy of the genetic code in two manners: having more than one tRNA (with a specific anti-codon) for a particular amino acid; and 'wobble' base-pairing, i.e. permitting non-standard base-pairing at the 3rd anti-codon position.
Source: RNAcentral
GUUAAGGUGGCAGAGCCCGGUCAUAAUGCAAAAGGCCUAAGCCCUUUGAACAGAGGUUCAAAUCCUCUCCUUCACU